AGAGUUUGAUCCUGGCUCAGAUUGAACGCUGGCGGUAUGCUUAACACAUGCAAGUCGAACGGUAACAUGAUUAGCUUGCUAAUUGAUGACGAGUGGCGGAAGGGGGAGUAACGCGUAGGGAUCUGCCUAACAAUGGGGGAUAGCCCGGUGAAAACCGGAUUAAUACCGCAUAAGCCCUACGGGGGAACGAGGCCACUUCUUGAAAGCUUCGACCGAUAGAUGAGCCUGCGUAAGAUUAGCUAGUUGGUAGGGUAAUGGCCUACCAAGGCGACGAUCUAUAGCUGGUCUGAGAAGAUGACCAGCCACACUGGGACUGAGACACGGCCCAGACUCCUACGGGAGGCAGCAGUGGGGAAUAUUGCGCAAUGGGGGCAACCCUGACGCAGCAAUGCCGCGUGAGUGAAGAAGGUUUUCGGAUUGUAAAGCUCUUUCAGCAGGGAGGAAAGCCAUUUGAUUAAGAGUUGAGUGGUGUGACGUUAGCUACAGAAGCAGCACCGGCUAACUCUGUGCCAGCAGCCGCGGUAAUACAGAGGUGCAAGCGUUAAUCGGAAUUACUGGGCGUAAAGCGCGCGUAGGUGGUUAGUUAAGCGAGAUGUGAAAGCCCUGGGCUUAACCUGGGAACUGCAUUUCGAACUGAUUGACUAGAGUACAGUAGAGGGUAGUGGAAUUUCCAGUGUAGCGGUGAAAUGCGUAGAUAUUGGAAGGAACAUCAGUGGCGAAGGCGACUGCCUGGACUGAUACUGACACUGAGGUGCGAAAGCGUGGGGAGCAAACGGGAUUAGAUACCCUGGUAGUCCACGCUGUAAACGAUGUCAACCUAGCCGUUGGGAGACUUGAUCUCUUAGUGGCGUAGCUAACGCGAUAAGUUGACCGCCUGGGGAGUACGGCCGCAAGGUUAAAACUCAAAUGAAUUGACGGGGGCCCGCACAAGCGGUGGAGCAUGUGGUUUAAUUCGACGCAACGCGAAGAACCUUACCUGGCCUUGACAUCCCGAGAAUUUGCUAGAGAUAGCUUAGUGCCUGAAAAGGAACUCUGUGACAGUUGCUGCAUGGCUGUCGUCAGCUCGUGUUGUGAAAUGUUGGGUUAAGUCCCGUAACGAGCGCAACCCUUAUCCUUAUUGCCAGCACGUAAUGGUGGGAACUCUAAGGAGACUGCCGGUAAUAAACCGGAGGAAGGUGGGGAUGAGGUCAAGUCAUCAUGGCCCUUAUGGGUAGGGCUACACACGUGCUACAAUGGGCGGUACAAAGAGUCGCCAACCCGCGAGGGGGAGCUAAUCUCAAAAAACCGUUCGUAGUCCGGAUCGGAGUCUGCAACUCGACUCCGUGAAGUCGGAAUCGCUAGUAAUCGCGAAUCAGCAUGUCGCGGUGAAUACGUUCUCAGGCCUUGUACACACUGCCCGUCACACCAUGGAAGUGGGUUGUACCAGAAGUAGGUAGACUAACCGUAAGGGGGUCGCUUACCACGGUAUGAUUCAUGACUGGGGUGAAGUCGUAACAAGGUA
This 1501-nucleotide ribosomal RNA is filed under the name uncultured prokaryote. RNAcentral describes it as "partial 16S ribosomal RNA". It matches the Rfam family "Bacterial small subunit ribosomal RNA". The record is from RNAcentral.